Molecule: non-coding RNA, 29 nt
Filed under: Homo sapiens (human)
Lineage: Eukaryota; Metazoa; Chordata; Mammalia; Primates; Hominidae
Source: RNAcentral
CCAAACUGAGGGUCGGGCUGCUAUUUCUC